CUUCGGACCUCGCGCUAAGAGAAGAGCCUACGUCUGAUUAGCUAGUUGGUAGGGUAAAGGCCUACCAAGGCGACGAUCAGUAGCUGGUCUGAGAGGACGACCAGCCACACUGGGACUGAGACACGGCCCAGACUCCUACGGGAGGCAGCAGUGGGGAAUUUUUCGCAAUGGGGGCAACCCUGACGAAGCAAUGCCGCGUGGAUGAAGAAGGCCUUCGGGUUGUAAAGUCCUUUCGUGGGGGACGAAAAGGUGGUUCCUAAUACGAGCUGCUGUUGACGUGAACCCAAGAAGAAGCACCGGCUAACUCCCGUGCCAGCAGCCGCGGUAAUACGGGGGGUGCAAGCGUUAAUCGGAAUCACUGGGCGUAAAGGGUGCGUAGGCGGUACGUUAGGUCUGUCGUGAAAUCCCCGGGCUCAACCUGGGAA
Molecule: ribosomal RNA, 425 nt
Filed under: uncultured bacterium
Lineage: Bacteria
Description: bacterial SSU rRNA
Rfam family: Bacterial small subunit ribosomal RNA
Source: RNAcentral